This 449-nucleotide ribosomal RNA is filed under the name uncultured bacterium. Its description in RNAcentral is "partial 16S ribosomal RNA". It matches the Rfam family "Bacterial small subunit ribosomal RNA", at positions 354 to 796 of the family's 1533-position model. The record is from RNAcentral.
GUCGAGAAUCUUUCACAAUGGGGGCAACCCUGAUGGAGCGACGCCGCGUGGAGGAUAAGGUCUUCGGAUUGUAAACUCCUGUCAUGCGUGAACAAGGUUGCUUGGUUAAUACCUGGGCAAAUUGAUGGUAACGCAAGAGGAAGAGACGGCUAACUCUGUGCCAGCAGCCGCGGUAAUACAGAGGUCUCAAGCGUUGUUCGGAAUCACUGGGCGUAAAGGGUGCGUAGGUGGCGUGGUAAGUCAGAUGUGAAAGCCCGGGGCUCAACCUCGGAACUGCAUCCGAUACUGGCAUGCUAGAGUACUGGAGAGGUGACUAGAAUUCUCGGUGUAGCAGUGAAAUGCGUAGAUAUCGAGAGGAAUACCAAAGGCGUAGGCAGGUCACUGGACAGUUACUGACACUGAGGCACGAAGGCCAGGGGAGCGAACGGGAUUAGAUACCCCUGUAGUCC